This 508-nucleotide ribosomal RNA is filed under the name uncultured bacterium. RNAcentral describes it as "partial 16S ribosomal RNA". It matches the Rfam family "Bacterial small subunit ribosomal RNA", at positions 30 to 523 of the family's 1533-position model. The record is from RNAcentral.
AUUGAACGCUGGCGGCAUGCCUUACACAUGCAAGUCGAACGGCAGCGGGGGAGAAGCUUGCUUUUCCUGCCGGCGAGUGGCGAACGGGUGAGUAAUACAUCGGAACGUGCCCUGUAGUGGGGGAUAACUAGUCGAAAGAUUAGCUAAUACCGCAUACGACCUGAGGGUGAAAGGGGGGGACCGCAAGGCCGCAUGCUAUAGGAGCGGCCGAUGUCUGAUUAGCUAGUUGGUGGGGUAAAGGCCUACCAAGGCGACGAUCAGUAGCUGGUCUGGGAGGACGAUCAGCCACACUGGGACUGAGACACGGCCCAGACUCCUACGGGAGGCAGCAGUGGGGAAUUUUGGACAAUGGGCGAAAGCCUGAUCCAGCAAUGCCGCGUGUGUGAAGAAGGCCUUCGGGUUGUAAAGCACUUUUGUCCGGAAAGAAAUGGCUCUGGUUAAUACCUGGGGUCGAUGACGGUACCGGAAGAAUAAGGACCGGCUAACUACGUGCCAGCCGCCGCCGUAA